RNAcentral lists this ribosomal RNA (489 nucleotides) under uncultured bacterium. RNAcentral's name for it is "partial 16S ribosomal RNA". It matches the Rfam family "Bacterial small subunit ribosomal RNA", at positions 29 to 507 of the family's 1533-position model. The record is from RNAcentral.
AGUGAACGCUGGCGGUAGGCCUAACACAUGCAAGUCGAACGGCAGCACAGUAAGAGCUUGCUCUUACGGGUGGCGAGUGGCGGACGGGUGAGGAAUACAUCGGAAUCUACUUUUUCGUGGGGGAUAACGUAGGGAAACUUACGCUAAUACCGCAUACGACCUACGGGUGAAAGCAGGGGAUCUUCGGACCUUGCGCGAUUGAAUGAGCCGAUGUCGGAUUAGCUAGUUGGCGGGGUAAAGGCCCACCAAGGCGACGAUCCGUAGCUGGUCUGAGAGGAUGAUCAGCCACACUGGAACUGAGACACGGUCCAGACUCCUGCGGGAGGCAGCAGUGAGGAAUAGUGGACAAUGGGCGCAAGCCUGAUCCAGCCAUACCGCGUGGGUGAAGAAGGCCUUCGGGUUGUAAAGCCCUUUUGUUGGGAAAGAAAAGCAGGUUAAUACCCCGCUGUUCUGACGGUACCCAAAGAAUAAGCACCGGCUAACUUCGUG